This 45-nucleotide non-coding RNA is filed under the name Schistosoma margrebowiei. The record is from RNAcentral. Lineage: Eukaryota; Metazoa; Platyhelminthes; Trematoda; Strigeidida; Schistosomatidae.
AUCCAACUGACGAGUCUCAACUAGGAGAAGACGCGCGUCUUGUAU